This 20-nucleotide microRNA is filed under the name Gallus gallus (chicken). RNAcentral describes it as "gga-miR-122b". Its record names the gene gga-miR-122b. The record is from miRBase by way of RNAcentral. Lineage: Eukaryota; Metazoa; Chordata; Aves; Galliformes; Phasianidae.
AGUGUGACACUGGUGUUUUU